AUUCAUCUGAUGAGUUCCAAAUAGGACGAAAUGCGCGUCCUGGAU
This 45-nucleotide non-coding RNA is filed under the name Schistosoma haematobium. Lineage: Eukaryota; Metazoa; Platyhelminthes; Trematoda; Strigeidida; Schistosomatidae. RNAcentral also lists the same sequence under 1 other name. The record is from RNAcentral.